RNAcentral lists this microRNA precursor (98 nucleotides) under Urocitellus parryii (Arctic ground squirrel). Its description in RNAcentral is "Spermophilus parryii (Arctic ground squirrel) mir-544 microRNA precursor family". It matches the Rfam family "mir-544 microRNA precursor family". The record is from Rfam by way of RNAcentral. RNAcentral also lists the same sequence under 2 other names. Lineage: Eukaryota; Metazoa; Chordata; Mammalia; Rodentia; Sciuridae.
AUCACCUGGGGAUCUUGUUAAACUGCAAAUUCUGAUUAGGUAGGUCUAGGUUGUGGCCUGAGGUUCUGCAUUUUUAACAGGUUCCCAGGUGAUGACAG